This 543-nucleotide ribosomal RNA is filed under the name Debaryomyces hansenii. RNAcentral describes it as "partial large subunit ribosomal RNA". It matches the Rfam family "Eukaryotic large subunit ribosomal RNA", at positions 98 to 656 of the family's 3401-position model. Lineage: Eukaryota; Fungi; Ascomycota; Pichiomycetes; Serinales; Debaryomycetaceae. The record is from RNAcentral.
GCGGCAAAAGCUCAAAUUUGAAAUCUGGCACCUUCGGUGUCCGAGUUGUAAUUUGAAGAAGGUAACUUUGGAGUUGGCUCUUGUCUAUGUUCCUUGGAACAGGACGUCACAGAGGGUGAGAAUCCCGUGCGAUGAGAUGCCCAAUUCUAUGUAAAGUGCUUUCGAAGAGUCGAGUUGUUUGGGAAUGCAGCUCUAAGUGGGUGGUAAAUUCCAUCUAAAGCUAAAUAUUGGCGAGAGACCGAUAGCGAACAAGUACAGUGAUGGAAAGAUGAAAAGAACUUUGAAAAGAGAGUGAAAAAGUACGUGAAAUUGUUGAAAGGGAAGGGCUUGAGAUCAGACUUGGUAUUUUGCGAUCCUUUCCUUCUUGGUUGGGUUCCUCGCAGCUUACUGGGCCAGCAUCGGUUUGGAUGGUAGGAUAAUGACUAAGGAAUGUGGCUCUACUUCGGUGGAGUGUUAUAGCCUUGGUUGAUACUGCCUGUCUAGACCGAGGACUGCGUCUUUUGACUAGGAUGUUGGCAUAAUGAUCUUAAGCCACCCGUCUUG